UACGGAGGGUGCGAGCGUUAUCCGGAAUUACUGGGUUUAAAGGGUGCGUAGGCGGCCAUGUAAGUCAGGAGUGAAAGUUUGCGGCUCAACCGUAAAAUUGCUUUUGAUACUGCAUGGCUAGAAUCAGGAUGAGGUCAGCGGAAUGUGGCAUGUAGCGGUGAAAUGCAUAGAUAUGCCAUAGAACACCAAUUGCGAAGGCAGCUGGCUAGACCUGUAUUGACGCUGAGGCACGAAAGCGUGGGGAGCGAACAGG
RNAcentral lists this ribosomal RNA (253 nucleotides) under uncultured bacterium. Its description in RNAcentral is "partial 16S ribosomal RNA". It matches the Rfam family "Bacterial small subunit ribosomal RNA", at positions 524 to 776 of the family's 1533-position model. The record is from RNAcentral.